Molecule: long non-coding RNA, 201 nt
Filed under: Arachis ipaensis
Lineage: Eukaryota; Viridiplantae; Streptophyta; Magnoliopsida; Fabales; Fabaceae
Description: long non-coding RNA (AIPA_LNC000040)
Source: RNAcentral
UCUUACACCAGAGGAUCUCCAUAGCAAUCUCUCUCUCUAUUUAUAAAUAAAUAUAAAAAUAUUUGUCCCUCACCAUGUUAUUGUUAGCUACAAAUUCCUUUUCUUUUCCUUUAAAUUAAGACAGUGGAAUUACCAAGAAGAAGAGAUAAAAAAGCAAGAGAGAGAUAUAUAUAAAUAGAGAGAGCGAGAGUGGGGAUGAUA